Molecule: non-coding RNA, 21 nt
Filed under: Ornithorhynchus anatinus (platypus)
Lineage: Eukaryota; Metazoa; Chordata; Mammalia; Monotremata; Ornithorhynchidae
Also listed under: 25 other names
Gene: oan-miR-192-5p
Source: miRBase by way of RNAcentral
CUGACCUAUGAAUUGACAGCC